GGCCUCUGUAGAUGGACAUUGUAACCAUAGUGACACAGCUACUGUCAAUAUUGGUGUUUCAGAUAUUAAUGACAACAAACCUACCUUCACUCAAGGGUUAUAUGAAUGUACAACAGCUGAAAACAUGAUAGGAACAAUACCUGGCUGUAAGAUAGCUGCUACAGACAAAGACUCUGGACAAAAUGGCAACUUUACCUUUAAAUCAUUGAAUGCUAACUACAGUAUCACCAGCAUGGGUGGUGUUAAAUUGAAUACAAAGCUUGAUUAUGAAUCUGGUCAGACAGACUACUCUGUGAUUAUAGAGGCUAGAGACAACGGC
Molecule: long non-coding RNA, 319 nt
Organism: Mytilus trossulus (common blue mussel)
Lineage: Eukaryota; Metazoa; Mollusca; Bivalvia; Mytilida; Mytilidae
Exons: 3
Source: RefSeq, a predicted model, not a curated record